ACGGGUGAGUAACACGUGGGCAAUCUGCCCUUCACUCUGGGACAAGCCCUGGAAACGGGGUCUAAUACCGGAUAUCACUUCCACUCGCAUGGGUGGGGGUCGAAAGCUCCGGCGGUGAAGGAUGAGCCCGCGGCCUAUCAGCUUGUUGGUGAGGUAAUGGCUCACCAAGGCGACGACGGGUAGCCGGCCUGAGAGGGCGACCGGCCACACUGGGACUGAGACACGGCCCAAACUCCUACGGGAGGCAGCAGUGGGGAAUAUUGCACAAUGGGCGAAAGCCUGAUGCAGCGACGCCGCGUGAGGGAUGACGGCCUUCGGGUUGUAAACCUCUUUCAACAGGAAAGAAGCGAAAGUGACGGUACCUGCAGAACAAGCGCCGGCUAACUACUUGCCAGCAGCCGCGGUAAUACGUAGGGCGCAAGCGUUGUCCGGAAUUAUUGGGCGUAAAGAGCUCGUAGGCGGUCUGUCGCGUCGGAUGUGAAAGCCCGGGGCUUAACCCCGGGUCUGCAUUCGAUACGGGCAGACUAGAGUGUGGUAGGUGAGAUCGGAAUUCCUGGUGUAGCGGUGAAAUGCGCAGA
RNAcentral lists this ribosomal RNA (578 nucleotides) under Streptomyces sp. HRTK019. RNAcentral describes it as "bacterial SSU rRNA". It matches the Rfam family "Bacterial small subunit ribosomal RNA", at positions 102 to 694 of the family's 1533-position model. Lineage: Bacteria; Bacillati; Actinomycetota; Actinomycetes; Kitasatosporales; Streptomycetaceae. The record is from RNAcentral.